This is an RNA transcript of Oncorhynchus keta (chum salmon), 6222 nucleotides long. It is a transcript of the gene named palmitoyltransferase ZDHHC5-B-like, with no coding region annotated. Lineage: Eukaryota; Metazoa; Chordata; Actinopteri; Salmoniformes; Salmonidae. The transcript has 12 exons. The record is from RefSeq and is a predicted model, not a curated record.
CUGAUUGUUUAUAGUUCUGUCUCAAGCGGUGAUCAAACACAGGUCGUCGCGACAAACUUGCCCUGGUUUGGCUAGCUAGUCAGCUAACAUGUAUUCCUUGAUCAGGACUAUCUGUUCCAUUAUACAUAACGAGUCAUUGGACGAAGGCGUCUUCUGUGCGGGGGAGUAUCUUUAACGACACUCGGUCUGAACAUGAAAACGAUUCGCUUGCGGUACGAUUUUUGAAGCAUAAUGACCUUAUCUUUUAACAUCAAAUAUUAAUAUUUUUCAAACAAAAUGUUAAAUUGUUACACAACUUCAUAGCGUUUGGGUUCCCACACGGCCAUAUUUCCAUGUUAGUGUUUGUUUACGCACACAGCUAACGUUAUCUGCGAAUCCGAACACCUGUGUAAACGGAAGACAAACGCCACAAACAUGUCACUGAAAAAUACUGUCCGCUGCAACUGUUAACCCGGUACAGAGGUGCUGUCAUAGACAACAACCGUGUGCUAGAACACUGGACUGAGACGACCUGCAGUUGUCUGAGUGGCUUCCUCUUUCUGCGUGGCAUCAUGGGAAAGGAGGCGUGUCUAUGGUGGUUUCAGAGAUGGGAUGGGUUUUACCUGCACUGUUACAAAGACUAAAACAAACAGCUAAAAAAACAGCGAAUUGACCAAGUUGAUCAGACAAGACUGAUCUCACCUGUGGAUAUGAAUGCUCUCUUAGACGGACAGAGCACUGAAUAGUGUAUACAACAUUUGAGAGCUUUUGUAUACAGGCUUUUUUUAAAGCUGCAUGCGGACUUGGAUUUUUACUGGGCAGCUUUACAUUUUUUUAUUUGAUUUUUUUUGUCCCAACGGCUGCCUCCCCAGAAUAUAGACCCUGGAACUAUCCCCUUUGCAAGCAUUCUAUCACACUUUUCUGUCUCACCCAAUCACAUUGUCACACACACACACACACACACGCACACGCACACGCACACACACACACUCAGUGCCUAGAUACACCUUGUACAAGACCAGAGUUCAGUGGAUGGUCACUGCUCUGCUAGACACCCCUGUUCUGUUGUUUUACAGGCAGUCCUGCUACAACCUCCUAAUUUCUGCCCCCUACAAGAGAGUUUGUAAAUAGUAGUGAUAGAUGUAGGUUUUGAUCCCUGUGGAGGGUUAGGGUUUGUUUGUUGGCUCACCAGGUCAAGUAUUUGUAAAAGCAGUUAAUUGUGUGUGCCCUUGUGGGUCUUUGUUGCAGUAGACAGGGAAGAUUUGGUUGAUUUAUGUAUAUUGUUGCACCAAAUAAGGUUACAUGAAAGCCACACAGAAAUAUAUAUUUUUAAAGUUGCAAUUAUUUUUGUAUGAUAUUGUAUAGUUUUAUUUUCAAAAUAUAUAAAAUGUAUAGCUAGCUAUCUAGCUAGCUGUUGAUAUACCAGCAAAGAUCUACACAUAUGCAAACAAAGGUGUAGACUUUACUAUAAAAUAAGUAUUUAAGUUUUAAGUGGUUUUUGUGGCCAAAGUGCAAAUAUCUGGCUACCUUAAGAUGUUUCUCCCAAAUGGCUGCUUUCUUUAAUAAUACUAUUUCUGCUACCUAAGACCCUUCCCAUCUACCAUCAUGCCCCCUUAUCCCAUACGGACACUGAGGUCUUCCCUCUGACCUUUCCAACAUCCUUCUCUUUAGAUAUACCUCUUCUACCUCGCUCCCUCCUCCUCUCUCCCUCCCUCUGAUGCCGGGGUUCAGUAGUGGGGGACUAGGUGGGGAGGUGGGUGGCCCCGCCGCCUCUCCUCCCUGCCCGUUCCGACCCAGUCGCUUCGUUCCCGUCUCCGCGGCAACCACUUUCCUGGUCGGCUCCACCACGCUCUUCUUCUGCUUCACGUGUCCGUGGUUGUCAGAGCAUGUCUCAUCCGUCAUUCCCAUCUAUAACGCUGUGGUCUUCCUCUUCACCCUCGCCAACUUCUGCAUGGCCACCUUUAUGGACCCAGGGGUCUUUCCCAGAGCGGAAGAGGAUGAGGAUAAAGAGGAUGAUUUCCGCGCUCCGCUCUAUAAAACGGUGGAAGUUAAGGGCAUUCAGGUCCGGAUGAAGUGGUGCUCCAGCUGCCGUUUCUACAGACCGCCCCGCUGCUCACACUGCUCUGUGUGUGACAACUGUGUGGAGGACUUUGACCACCACUGCCCGUGGGUGAACAACUGUAUCGGGCGCAGGAACUACCGUCACUUCUUCCUGUUCCUGUUGUCCCUGACGAUCCACAUCAUGGGAGUGUUUGGCUUCGGCCUGCUGUACAUCCUCCAGCACCAGCACCAGCUGGACAGUGUUCACUCCUCUGUCACUAUGGCUACGAUGUGUACCGCUGGUCUCUUCUUCAUCCCAGUAGCAGGUCUUACUGGUUUCCACAUGGUACUGGUAGCUCGGGGUAGGACCACUAACGAGCAGGUUACAGGGAAGUUUAGGGGAGGGGUUAACCCUUUCACCAAUGGCUGUCUUUGGAACGUCUCGCACGUGCUCUGUAGCUCUCAGGCUCCCAGGUACGUGGGGCGGUGGCGGGGGAAGCAGACAGUGGAGGUGCAGCCUCCCUUUCUCCGUCCUCCUCUCUCCGAGGCGCAGCUAGAGGCCAAAGUCCUGGACAACGGCAUCCAGAACGACCACCACAGCAGCCGGUCUAAGAGCAGUUUGGAGCAGAUGGAAAGCCAGUCAGCAGAUGCAGAGCCUCCACCUCCUCCCAAACCGGAGGUCCGCUACCCUGGCCUGCCCCGCGCAGACACAGAGGAAAGCAGCUUGCUCUCUGAAGGUCUGUCCACUCCCUCUAUGUACAAGUACCGGCCGGCCUAUAGCAGCCCACAGAGGAACCACACAGCUCUGACACACCCAAACAAGAUGAUUCGUGGGGACAGUCUGGACUCCCCCUCCAUUCUCCAGUCGAGUCGCCAGGCUAGCUAUCGGUCUGAGCCCAGCAGCCUGGAUGGGGGGUCGGUAAUUGGUUUGGCGGCACGUGGAGGGGAGAGGGGCGAAGGCCCCGGGGGGUCCAGUGGGACGGGUGGGGAGGUUGCGGGGGGUAUCUCCGGGUACUCCCUAGGGGGGCGGUCGUACACUUCUUACCCCUCCUCUCUGGUCCUGUCCACCGGUGGUUCUCACUCCUCCAGCAUGCGCUCUGCCCACACACACCAUAAUACUCUGGGCACGCUCCAAUCAGAGGGCACCACCGACACCAGCUACAAGAGCCUGGCCAAUCAGACACCUCAGAACGGCAGCCUGUCCUACGACAGUCUGCUGACACCGUCCGAGAGCCCUGAGUUUGAGUCGGCCGCUCACGAGUUGUCUCCACAGAAGCCCCACGCCCCUGCAGCGUUUCCCCCGGCGAUGACCUCCUCGCCGCCCCCCGGGGUCAGGGACGUACCCUUGCAGGGGUACACCUCACCCUUCCUCUCAGCACAGAUGGCCCAGCAGAGAGAGGGCCAGCUGCUCCAGGGCUCUGCCUCUUUCUCCUCCCCCAACAGGGCAUACCUCCGCGCCUUCAGCCCUCCCCCGCCGAAUCCCCCACACGCUGCCCACCCUGAGACACAGCACCACCUCCUCCACCAGGACUCCAGACACCCACACCUCCGUGCCACCUCCUCCAUUCGCCCCCUUCCUCCCGUCUCUGAACAGCCCUCCCCCUCCUCCCCGCAUGCCUGUUCCCCGGACCCCCCUGUGUCUCCCCCGCCCAGAGGCCCCUCCCUAAGGAAGUCCCCCUCCUACACCGAGGAGGCAGGGCUCCAGCACAAGGCUCGGCCAAUGGGAGGAGGCAGUUUGUCGGGAGAGGGCGGAGUCAGAGUGACCCAGACUCCACAGUGAGUAGAGAUCUGAGCCACGAGCCUGCUACUCUUCAUCCUCUUCCUCCAUGAUUGAUCUAUAUGAGCCCUCUUCCUCCCUGAUCUGUAUCCACCUCUCGCCCAGGCUUGGCCAAUCACAGCACAUCCAAACCAGUGGGCGGGGUGAAGAAGGUGACUGGCGUUGGAGGGACCACCUAUGAGAUAUCGGUUUGAGUGACAGACAUCCGCCCCAGCCGAAGAUAGAAUGUUCCACUGGACAGAUUCCAAUGUUCUUACUCUGAGGAGACUUGGAGAUGGUUAUUCAAUCAAAAAGGACUAUCCUCUGCUCUUGGUCAAUAUGGAGUGGAUAGUGGAACAGAGGUGUUUGGCUCACUGGUACUUCAAUGACCUUAGUAUCUUUAUAAUGCCACUGGUCAUCUUUUUACUGAUGAUCUUUCUUUCAUAUUGGAUCGAAUGGCGACUGAAGUGAAACUGAAUGUUGACCAGUAAUGGAAUGGGACAACCUCUCCACAGUCUGUGAGCCAUAGACAUGAACGUUGUUAUGACAGCUGGGUACUAAACUCUUUAAUGCAUAUAUACAAAGAUUAUUUAUUUCGGUACGUUAGGACAUGGAGAAUUUAUACGAUAAAAUAUAAUCCUGGAAAGGAGGGCAUUUGAACCAAUCAGUAUGGAGCCUGAGAGGGAGCAUAUGGACUGUUGGCCAAUUGUGGCGCUCAGUGGUUCGAGGCUUCCUGUCCCAUUCAAAUGGAUGGACCAAUCACAAUGGAUCACCCAUGUAAUUAGUCUGCAGCGAAUAUUCAGACUGCAGAGAUGAUGCCUCAACCUCUGCAAACACAGUUUAAUUUGAGUUUUAUAAAGAAUUUUUUUUAUAUUGUUUUUUAUAUAAAUGCCUAAAGAAUCUUUAAGAAUUAUUGGGUCAAUUGUUCAGAUGCUGGAGAUAGCAUUUUGGGUUUUGUGAAUGACUAUGAAUGUGAGUUAGACUAAUCGCUUGUUUUGAUUGAUGGCUGUAUCAGCCAGUCAUAGAGCUCGCUGCAAUUCUCAUCCAAAGAGAUUGGUGAUCGUAUAUAUGACGGCCAGCUGAAGAGGCCCGUCACUGAGGAUGUUGAAAGCCACAAAGAAAAUGUUUAUUCCGAAUCAUAAAUACAGUACACGCCUCUUUGUGGAAUGUACACUAGAAAUGUUAAUUAUUGAUACAUUAUGCAAAUUUUCUCUUUGUAGCUUUUAAAUGAUUUGCCUGUCAUUUUGGUGUUCAAAAUGUGUUCUGUCAAUCAGUGCUAGAAAAACUUUAAGGAUGGUCAGCCAAACAUGUUAAGAGUGUGAGGGGUCAUGUUUAUUUUAUCGGACAGGAAAACCUUUUGAGUUCUGAACACAAUUUCAAACCAAUCUCUAUAUCCAGGAGUUAGAGGAAGUUGCCCCUACACAUUGAGGCCUUUUGCCCCUAAUUGUUAGGGCACUAAGGGAGUGUAAACUGGUUCUAAAUCUAUUCCCAGAAGUGUAACUUCUACUCAGAGACCACAUCCCUAUCAUAGUGCCUUGUCCUUAGAUUCAAAUAUAAUUGGAAGAUUCCAACAAAUUAAAUUCUGGGGGGUGAUAAAUAUAGGUAUUAUUUUUUUCUUUGUUUGUAUAUGUAUGAUGUGUCUAGGAGGCUACAGAUGCCGGGGUUGGUUUGAAAUUGAGGACUGUUUUGAUCGUUUUUUGCCUUGAGACCAUUCGUAGUAAAACAAAGCGUUUAAAAAUAUAUAUUUUAAAGUAUUACUUACAACUAUUGUAUUUCAUAUUUUAAUUGGUUUUGUUGACAUUCUGGCCUCUUGAUUUCCUUAUCUGCUUUCUGUUGUUUAAAAAAAAUAUCUUUAUGGUACAGUGAACAUUUUGCCCGUGAAUAGGUUUAGGAAGGCACAGUCAGAAACAGAAAGAUGUGUUUGUGUGUCAGGAGUGUGCGUGGUUGAGAGGAGGAGGUGGUAUGUUUAAUCCAAUCCCAUUACAGAGUUGGAAUGUCAAAGCUAGCUGAAUGUAGCACGUUUUAUGUUCAGGGAAUUCUGAAGCACACAAACUAUCAACCAAUCACACAGCAGUGUGGCCACAGUCAGUGUUUGUAUGCACCCCCUCCCCAUGUGUACAGUACAGUAGGUGUGCAUGUGAUUCUGUGUGUUGUUGAAUGCACUCCCGGUGUGUAUGUGUGAGAAUAUCCUUGUCAAAUGCACACCUGGUUUAUAUGAGUACAAGCAGUCAGGCAUACAGGGUUAGAGAGAGUCUUACUUUCUCCUGGUGGGGAAGGGGGCUUUGAACAACAGAAUAUAUGUGAGUAAAUAAGAAUGCUGCUAUUGUUGUGGGUUGUGCUGAAUGGAGAGUGUCAAAUAUUUCUGAUGAACAUGGAGAAGACAUUUCCAAAAUGGCCUUAAGAGUUUAAGGUGUCUUCUCAGAAUAAAAGGUCAACCUGACGGAAAA